Molecule: RNA transcript, 5103 nt
Organism: Loxodonta africana (African savanna elephant)
Lineage: Eukaryota; Metazoa; Chordata; Mammalia; Proboscidea; Elephantidae
Gene: WDR48
Gene name: WD repeat domain 48
Exons: 21
Source: RefSeq, a predicted model, not a curated record
UCCUCUUUAUGGUUUUCGUCACUCUUUCUAUUGAAGAAUUUGACUUACUGUUUUGUCAGGACUCUCUAUUGUCAAGAGUAAAUUUUUGUCUUUCAUAUUUAUUCGAGUAUUGAGCGUUUCAAUCCUGCUCAUGUUAUUUUUUGACAGAGGGUUUUUGUUUUGUUUUAAUAAUAGUUUCAUUAAGAUAAAAUGCACACAUCAUAAAGUUCACCCUUUUAAAGAAUACAAUUAAAUGAUUUUUCCUGAAUUCGCAAAGGUGUGCAUCCGUUGGCUAAUUCCAGAACAUUCUCAUCACCCAGAAGAGAAACUCCAUACCCGUGAGCCGUCACCUCCUGUCCCCCUCUCCCCAGGCCCUUUACAACCACUAAUCUACUUACUGUCUUUAUAGAUUUUCCUAUUGUGGACGUCUCCUAUAAAUAGAAUCAUAAAACACGAGACCUUUUAUGCCUUGCAAACCCUGGUGGCGUAGUUGUUAAGCAGCCCAACUGCUAACCAAAGGGUUGGCAGCUUGACUCCGCCAGGCGCUCCUUGGAAACUGGGGCAGUUCUACUCUGUCCUUACAGGGUCGCUAUGAGUCAGAAUCGACUCCACGGCACUGGGUUUUUGGUUUUGGUGUAUGCCUUGCUUCUUUCUGCUUAGCAUAACCUUUUCAAGGUUCAUCCAAGUUGCAGCACGUAUUAGACCUUCAUUCGUCUUUUACGUUGUCAUCGUCGUCGUUACGUGCUGUUGGGUUGGUUCCGACUCACAGUGACCCUAUGUACACCAGAACCAAACACUGCCUGGUCCUGCACCAGUAAUAUCCCACUUCACAGAUACACCAGAUUUUGUGUAUUUGUUCUUCAGUUGAUGGGCAUUUGGGACGUCUCUGCAUGUUGACUGUUACAGGUAGUUGUGCUAUGAACAUUUGUGUCCAUGCAGAGGUUUGAUUUGUAUCGUGUCAAAUCAGUGUUGCUUUUCCCCUUGGCAAAGAUUGCUCUCUGUCUUGUCCUGUAAGAAGGCUUUCUCUACCUAGAGACCCCAUAAAUACUCACCAGUCCUUUUUCUCUUAAGUAUUUUUAUUAUUACAUUAUUAAGUUCCAAUCUUCAAUCUACACAAAAAUUCAUUUUAUAAUUACAUGAUUAAAUUCCAGUCUUUAUAUGAAAAUUCAUUUUGGUUUUAAGAUGUAGAAAAGGGAUAUAAUUUUUCCCAGUAAAAUCAAUGAAUGAGUCUAGGUAAUGUAUUAAAAUUUUUUCAUGUCCUUGUUAAUUUGAGACACUGUGUUAAAAUAGAAAAUUUAUAAUAGAAAAGGUGUUUUCAAAUUUUGUUUUAUUCCAUUCAUCCUUUUAUAUAUUCCUAUUGUAGUUUUUUUUUUAUUGUAGUACUCCACUGUAAUUCUGGUAGCUUUGUAAUACCUUUUCAGAUCUUUGAAGGAUAUCCUCCCAAUUACCUUCAUUUUAAAAAAUAUCCUAGAUAUUCAUUUAUUAAUUUAACUUAAGUAUUAUUUUGUCAAUUUCUACAAAGAGUUCCGUUGCGAUUCUGGCCAAAAUUGGGCUAAAUUUACGCCUUUACGCAGGAAUUGUGACUUGCCCCCUUGCUCUGCGUUGCAUCUCCUCCCUGAAAAGUCUGUCUGUAGGUAUCGAUUGUUAAACAGCUAUGGUAGAUGCCCUCUCCCCACUUAUGUGCUUAACUAGCUAUUUUAUUAGAUCAGGAAAGUUUUGCUUCCGGCUGCCAACCAGCUCAUUGACUCUUUUUGUUUUGUUUUGUUUUACUGUAGUCUUUCUGGUUGAUUCUCUUGGGCUUUCACCUGGAGUAGACAGGCGGUCACCAACAGUAGUAACAAAGUAGAGGAAAGUACCCUGAGGGAAAAGUUCAGCGUUUUGGGAACCCAAAGCCUCAUUUUGCUCGGUGGGUCAGGAAAGCCUUUUUGAGGAAGCCUCAUUUAAACAGAAACCGAAAGACUGCAGUAGGGGUUAGGCAGACCCAGAGUGGAGGAAGAGCUUCCAGCGAGGGGAGCAGCAUUGUGAUGGCCUUGUGACCAGCACAGCGUGGGCCAGCAGCUGGAGCAGUGAGCUGGGGACGGCAGGAAAGGUGGACAAGGCCCGCUAGGCCCCGUCAGGGAGUCAGGUCAGAUCGUGAGUCUAGCAGUAAGCAGCCGGCGGUUUUUGAGCAGGGCUGAGACGCGUUCCGAUUUACGUUUUAGAAGAUUACUUCAGCUGCUUUGUAGAGAAUGGAUUAAAGACGAGCAAGAGUGGAGGAGAGGAGCCUCGUUAGGAGGCGGUUGCAGUAGCUCAGCAUCAGACUUACGCACCUCGGUGGUGGCGGUGGUGCGCGUUGCCAUCGAGGUGGCUCCUGCUCAUGGCGACCGUAUGUCUAACAGAACGGAACGUUGCCGGUCCUGCGCUGUUCGCACAACUUCUGGUCUCCUACGUUAUUCGGGAUGAAGUGGAGAAGUACAAUCGAAACGGAGUCAAUGCCCUGCAGCUGGAUCCAGCGCUGAACAGACUCUUCACGGCCGGCCGCGACUCCAUCAUAAGGAUAUGGAGUGUCAAUCAGCACAAGCAAGAUCCAUACAUAGCAUCUAUGGAACACCACACUGACUGGGUAAAUGACAUCGUACUCUGUUGUAAUGGGAAAACAUUGAUAUCUGCGUCCUCUGACACAACAGUCAAAGUGUGGAACGCGCAUAAGGGAUUUUGCAUGUCAACCCUGAGGACACACAAGGAUUACGUAAAAGCCUUAGCGUACGCCAAGGAUAAAGAGCUGGUGGCCUCGGCUGGGCUGGACAGACAGAUAUUCCUCUGGGAUGUGAACACCCUGACAGCGCUGACUGCCUCAAAUAACACUGUCACAAGUGUGACCCGGCAUUGUUGUACACGUGCAUGUCGUAGCACCCUAGCUGAAGUGGAGGUGCCCACUGCCUGGCCCAAAGCUGCACGCUCAUCAGCAUCCUCUUUAAGCGGGAACAAAGAUUCCAUUUACAGCCUGGCAAUGAAUCAGCUGGGAACAAUCAUUGUAUCAGGGUCCACUGAGAAGGUUUUGAGAGUGUGGGAUCCAAGAACAUGUGCAAAACUAAUGAAGCUUAAAGGGCACACAGAUAACGUGAAGGCCUUGCUGCUGAACAGAGAUGGUACACAGUGCCUUUCCGGCAGCUCUGAUGGGACAAUUCGCCUUUGGUCCCUUGGCCAGCAGAGAUGUAUAGCAACGUACCGAGUUCACGAUGAAGGCGUUUGGGCUCUGCAAGUCAAUGACGCCUUCACACACGUGUAUUCUGGAGGAAGGGACAGGAAGAUUUACUGUACAGACCUAAGAAACCCUGACAUCCGGGUGCUAAUCUGUGAAGAAAAAGCACCCGUUCUCAAGAUGGAGCUUGAUAGAUCAGCUGAUCCCCCUCCUGCAAUCUGGGUUGCAACAACGAAGUCUACGGUAAAUAAAUGGACACUGAAGGGCAUUCAUAAUUUUAGAGCCUCUGGAGAUUAUGACAACGACUGCACAAAUCCUGUAACGCCUCUUUGUACGCAGCCUGACCAGGUUAUCAAAGGGGGUGCUAGUAUUAUUCAGUGCCACAUUCUGAAUGAUAAGAGACACAUAUUAACCAAAGAUACCAACAAUAGUGUGGCGUAUUGGGAUGUGUUGAAGGCAUGUAAAGUUGAAGAUCUGGGCAAAGUGGAUUUUGAAGAUGAAAUUAAGAAAAGAUUUAAAAUGGUGUAUGUGCCAAAUUGGUUCUCAGUAGACUUGAAAACCGGGAUGUUGACUAUCACUUUAGAUGAGAGUGACUGUUUUGCUGCUUGGGUUUCUGCAAAAGACGCGGGCUUCAGCAGCCCUGACGGGUCAGAUCCAAAAUUGAACUUAGGAGGACUUUUACUUCAGGCACUCCUGGAAUAUUGGCCUAGAACCCACGCGAACCCAAUGGAUGAAGAAGAAAAUGAAGUAAACCAUGUGAACGGGGAGCAAGAGAACCGAGUGCAGAAGGGAAAUGGGUACUUUCAGGUGCCCCCCCACACACCCGUCAUCUUUGGUGAAGCUGGAGGCCGCACGCUCUUCAGGCUGCUCUGCCGAGACUCCGGGGGUGAGACUGAGUCCAUGCUUCUUAACGAGACGGUGCCACAAUGGGUAAUUGACAUCACUGUGGAUAAAAAUAUGCCCAAAUUCAACAAAAUUCCUUUCUACCUCCAACCUCAUGCGUCUUCAGGAGCAAAAACCUUGAAAAAAGAUAGACUCUCUGCCAGCGACAUGCUCCAAGUCCGGAAAGUAAUGGAACACGUUUAUGAGAAAAUCAUCAACUUGGAUAACGAGUCUCAAACCACUAGUUCUUCGAAUAAUGAAAAACCAGGAGAACAGGAAAAAGAAGAGGAUAUUGCCGUGUUGGCAGAGGAGAAAAUUGAACUUUUGUGCCAGGACCAGGUUUUAGAUCCAAACAUGGACCUCCGGACCGUGAAGCACUUUGUGUGGAAGAGUGGGGGUGACCUCACCCUGCAUUACCGGCAGAAGUCAACGUGAAGGGUGCCGGGUGCCUGAGUGAGUGUCCAUGUACUGACCUGCCUCCACGCCCAAGAGUCCCCACUGGAGCGAGGCUUCCAACGCCAGUUUGCUGCAGAUGCAGGGCUCCCUCGUUGCUGGCUGCCUUCUCGGGACGGGGGCAGGCAUUGCCUCCUGCACUCUGGAGAAGCCAGUGAAGACCUGGCCGCCUUCCCUGUGAGAUGAAACGGCCUUUCUCCCUUCUGCAGCAAGCGAGCGACCUGGCUUUUUUUUUAAGUCCUUUGUAUGGAGUUCUUGGAUACAGCAGUGUACUUUUGGUGCACCUUUUUUUAGCAAUUAUAACAAUAGUUAAGAAUUAAUGGCAGGAAAAAGAAAAAACCCCGUAAAUAUUGUAACUCAUUUGCCAGCCCCGUUUGCACGAGGGGGGCUUGAGGUGGAGAGUUCUGCCGGGUACCUGCCGGCUGGGCCAAACCUCAGGGGCAUCCACACCCCUCGUGUCCUCGGCCUCACCCCCAGCAUGGUUGUGGUUUUCUCCUUCUUCCAAUCAAACUAGUUAUCACUUUACAGAAAAUGUGACAGUCUGCAAUGCCAAAAGGGUAAAAAUAUGUAUUUCACAGUUGUACAGAAUAAAGGCUUUAGUUAAAAUA